GGUGGCAAAUGAUGUGAAAGAUUAUAUGCUAGAAUCUGAAUCUUCAUGUGGACAAAAACUCCGCUUAUUAUCUGAUGCCACA
This is a non-coding RNA of Brachypodium distachyon (stiff brome), 82 nucleotides long. Lineage: Eukaryota; Viridiplantae; Streptophyta; Magnoliopsida; Poales; Poaceae. The record is from Rfam.